AUGGCUUCGCCGCCGACGGGACCCGCGGCGCCGGCGGGCUUGGAGAGCAUGGAGGGGCUCGCCCUCGACAUCAUCAUCGCCAAGGCCGGCGCGCGCCCCGCGGCCGCGCUCGCCUGCGCCAGCACGCACCUGCGCGCCGCCGUGGCCGAGGACGCCGUCUGGCGCAGCUUCUGCGCCCGAGACCUCGGCCUCGACGCGCCCCUCGACCCCGAGGACCGCCCGCUCCCCUCCUUCAAGGAUGCAUAUAAAGUUUGGUCAGAGUCUUUUGGUAUGUAUCCAUUACCCCUGGUAAAGAGAGUGAAACUUUUUUGGAGCUCAUUAAAAGGAUGGAUUUCUGAAAACUUUCCUGAAGCACUCAGAACUUUGAGUAAAGGUGCUUCUGAAGCUCAGAUAAGAUCAGCAGAAGAUGAUCUUGGUUUCAAGCUUCCUAUGCCCACAAAGCUAUUGUACCGCUUUUGCAAUGGUCAACUGCCUUUCAGUAAAAACGAGGAUAUACGCAUGGCUCCUCUUGGCAUAAUAGGAGGCUAUGUGUUUUAUAAUUACAAUGUGAAUGUGCACUUGUCAUCUCUUGAGCAAAUGGUCGAAGAGACAAAAGAAUUUAAUCUCCACUUGGAGGAGCAAGGUCUUCCCAUUGGGCCCAACCUUGCAUUAGUGGCAAGUUCAUGGUAUCAUCCUAAAACGUUUCUUCUCAAUUGUUCAAGUGGUGAUCUUUACGUUGGCACUGCCAACUUAUCAGCUGGAGAAAUGAUGCCAUGCGUGCCAGAAUCAUUGAUAAAGCCAACGAAUAGUGAUAUGCCCCAAGAUGGAUUACUUUUGUGGUUGGAAGAGCACCUUAGGCGCUUACAGAAUGGCAUGAUCAAGAUCCGCCCGCUUAGUACGUCGAGGUAUAUCUGCUUAUAUCCAGAAGCAUCCCCAUUGUGUUCGUCAGCAGUGACAAAUGGUGUAAAGGUACGUGCAUCUGCUGUCUUUGUGCCAGAACAUCCUCGUCGGGGGCAUUUGGGCACACAUCUGUACAGCUAUUCCAUCCGCCUGUCAGUUCCUGAGGCAUGCAUGCUAGGUGGGGUUUACUUUUCUUCCUGCCAGCUUCACUCACGCCACUGGAUCAUCCGAUGUAAAGACACGGUUGUUUCGGAUAUGCAUGGGGAAGGUGUUAUUGGGGAGCACCCUUUACUUUUACCAGGGCAGGACGAGUUUGUCUAUGAGAGCUGCACGCCGCUGAAUGGCAGUAGUGGAUCUGUGGAGGGCUCUUUUACAUUUGUGCCUGGGAGGUUGACCCAGCCAGAAGGAAAACCAUUCGACGUCACGGUGGCUCCGUUCCCUCUGGAAGUACCCGACUACAUCUUCUGA
RNAcentral lists this ribosomal RNA (1347 nucleotides) under Triticum aestivum (bread wheat). RNAcentral's name for it is "partial small subunit ribosomal RNA". Lineage: Eukaryota; Viridiplantae; Streptophyta; Magnoliopsida; Poales; Poaceae. The record is from RNAcentral.